UAACGCGUGAGCAAUCUGCCUUUAAGAGGGGGAUAACAGUCGGAAACGGCUGCUAAUACCGCAUAAAGCAUCAAAUUCGCAUGUUUUUGACGCCAAAGGAGCAAUCCGCUUUUAGAUGAGCUCGCGUCUGAUUAGCUGGUUGGCGGGGUAACGGCCCACCAAGGCGACGAUCAGUAGCCGGACUGAGAGGUUGAACGGCCACAUUGGGACUGAGACACGGCCCAG
Molecule: ribosomal RNA, 225 nt
Filed under: uncultured bacterium
Lineage: Bacteria
Description: partial 16S ribosomal RNA
Rfam family: Bacterial small subunit ribosomal RNA
Source: RNAcentral